Molecule: ribosomal RNA, 429 nt
Filed under: Bacillota bacterium
Lineage: Bacteria; Bacillati; Bacillota
Description: Firmicutes bacterium partial 16S ribosomal RNA
Rfam family: Bacterial small subunit ribosomal RNA
Source: RNAcentral
UGGGGAAUUUUGGACAAUGGGCGAAAGCCUGAUCCAGCAAUGCCGCGUGUGUGAAGAAGGCCUUCGGGUUGUAAAGCACUUUUGUCCGGAAAGAAAACGCCGUGGUUAAUACCCGUGGCGGAUGACGGUACCGGAAGAAUAAGCACCGGCUAACUACGUGCCAGCAGCCGCGGUAAUACGUAGGGUGCAAGCGUUAAUCGGAAUUACUGGGCGUAAAGCGUGCGCAGGCGGUCCGCUAAGACAGAUGUGAAAUCCCCGGGCUUAACCUGGGAACUGCAUUGGUGACUGGCGGGCUAGAGUAUGGUAGAGGGGGGUAGAAUUCCACGUGUAACAGUGAAAUGCGUAGAGAUGUGGAGGAAUACCGAUGGCGAAGGCAGCCCCCUGGGCCAAUACUGACGCUCAUGCACGAAAGCGUGGGGAGCAAACAGG